RNAcentral lists this ribosomal RNA (474 nucleotides) under Rhizobium sp. RNAcentral describes it as "bacterial SSU rRNA". It matches the Rfam family "Bacterial small subunit ribosomal RNA", at positions 87 to 596 of the family's 1533-position model. The record is from RNAcentral. Lineage: Bacteria; Pseudomonadati; Pseudomonadota; Alphaproteobacteria; Hyphomicrobiales; Rhizobiaceae.
CAAGGGGAGUGGCAGACGGGUGAGUAACGCGUGGGAACAUACCCUUUCCUGCGGAAUAGCUCCGGGAAACUGGAAUUAAUACCGCAUACGCCCUACGGGGGAAAGAUUUAUCGGGGAAGGAUUGGCCCGCGUUGGAUUAGCUAGUUGGUGGGGUAAAGGCCUACCAAGGCGACGAUCCAUAGCUGGUCUGAGAGGAUGAUCAGCCACAUUGGGACUGAGACACGGCCCAAACUCCUACGGGAGGCAGCAGUGGGGAAUAUUGGACAAUGGGCGCAAGCCUGAUCCAGCCAUGCCGCGUGAGUGAUGAAGGCCUUAGGGUUGUAAAGCUCUUUCACCGGAGAAGAUAAUGACGGUAUCCGGAGAAGAAGCCCCGGCUAGCUUCGUGCCAGCAGCCGCGGUAAUACUCAGGGGGCUAGCGUUGUUCGGAAUUACUGGGCGUAAAGCGCACGUAGGCUGAUAUUUAAGUCAGGGGUG